This 374-nucleotide long non-coding RNA is filed under the name Arabidopsis lyrata. RNAcentral's name for it is "long non-coding RNA (ALYR_LNC000039)". Lineage: Eukaryota; Viridiplantae; Streptophyta; Magnoliopsida; Brassicales; Brassicaceae. The record is from RNAcentral.
AAAGACCCACUUGUGUCCUACUGGUUUUACAUCGGAUGGUGUCCUUAAGGUCGGACCAAACACAUCCCUUUUCUUAAUGAUUCUUAGCUCCACGUUUUAUGGUCUUGUACCAUUUUAAUCAAUCAAGUCUUUGAGUGCACUCUAGUAUAAACGUGGGCUCAUGAUCCUCAUUUAUAUUCAUAAAUUCAAGUGCUACCUUGUAUGUAAAUAAAUCAUCUUAUGUCGACAUUCCUUAUAUGUUCCACUAUGUUCCAGACAUGAUAUAAUCGAUUUGAGAUUUAUUAUGGUCAGGACCUUUAAUACUUUGCAGCUUGGCGUCCCAAGCUACAUUAUAUGGUACCUGUACCUUAGAGCCGGCCGGCCUUAUCUCCAUG